UGGGGAAUCUUGGACAAUGGGCGGAAGCCUGAUCCAGCCAUGCCGCGUGAGUGAAGAAGGCCCUAGGGUCGUAAAGCUCUUUCGCCUGUGAAGAUAAUGACGGUAGCAGGUAAAGAAACCCCGGCUAACUCCGUGCCAGCAGCCGCGGUAAUACGGAGGGGGUUAGCGUUGUUCGGAAUUACUGGGCGUAAAGCGCGCGUAGGCGGGCUGGAAAGUUGGGGGUGAAAUCCCGGGGCUCAACCCCGGAACUGCCUCCAAAACUAUCAGUCUAGAGUUCGAGAGAGGUGAGUGGAAUUCCAAGUGUAGAGGUGAAAUUCGUAGAUAUUUGGAGGAACACCAGUGGCGAAGGCGGCUCACUGGCUCGAUACUGACGCUGAGGUGCGAAAGUGUGGGGAGCAAACAGGAUUAGAUACCCGUGUAGUCC
Molecule: ribosomal RNA, 424 nt
Filed under: uncultured prokaryote
Description: bacterial SSU rRNA
Rfam family: Bacterial small subunit ribosomal RNA
Source: RNAcentral